RNAcentral lists this ribosomal RNA (772 nucleotides) under uncultured bacterium. Its description in RNAcentral is "bacterial SSU rRNA". It matches the Rfam family "Bacterial small subunit ribosomal RNA", at positions 28 to 792 of the family's 1533-position model. The record is from RNAcentral.
GAUGAACGCUAGCGGCAGGCCUAACACAUGCAAGUCGAGGGGUAGGACAUUUCGGUGUCUGAGACCGGCGCACGGGUGCGUAACGCGUAUGCAAUCUGCCUUAUACUAAGGGAUAGCCCAGAGAAAUUUGGAUUAAUACCUUAUAGUAUAUAGAUGUGGCAUCACAUUUAUAUUAAAGAUUUAUCGGUAUAAGAUGAGCAUGCGUCCCAUUAGCUAGUUGGUAUGGUAACGGCAUACCAAGGCAAUGAUGGGUAGGGGUCCUGAGAGGGAGAUCCCCCACACUGGUACUGAGACACGGACCAGACUCCUACGGGAGGCAGCAGUGAGGAAUAUUGGUCAAUGGGCGCAAGCCUGAACCAGCCAUGCCGCGUGCAGGAUGACGGUCCUAUGGAUUGUAAAACUGCUUUUGUACGGGAAGAAACAACUCUUCGUGAAGAGUCUUGACGGUACCGUAAGAAUAAGGAUCGGCUAACUCCGUGCCAGCAGCCGCGGUAAUACGGAGGAUCCAAGCGUUUAUCCGGAAUCAUUGGGUUUAAAAGGGUCCGUAGGCGGUUUUUAUAAGUUCAGUGGUGAAAAUCCGGACNGCUCAAACCUGUCGAACUGCCAUUGAUACUGUAGAACUUGAAUUACUGUGAAGUAACUAGAAUAUGUAGUGUAGCGGUGAAAUGCUUAGAUAUUACAUGGAAUACCAAUUGCGAAGGCAGGUUACUAACAUUAUAUUGACGCUGAUGGACGAAAGCGUGGGGAGCGAACAGGAUUAGAUACCCUGGUA